UCUCCAUAGUGCUGUGUGGGCAUGGAGGACUAGGGUCUUUCUUUCAUGAAACAGGUAAUGGAGAACUGAAAGCUCAUGGUGUGUUCAGAGAACAGCUAGCAGAGGAGAGGAGGAAAGAAGAGAAGGAAGGAAGAAGAUCAAGCUGAAAUGGUACUACGGGGACUCUUAAUGCUCCAUUAAGCCAAAUGGUUUGGACUUCAUCUGUAAGUAAUAGGGAGCCAAUGAAGAGUGUGGGACAGGAGAGUAAUUCAAUUCAGUAUGUAUUUUGAAUUGAUGGCUAUGAUAGUGACUAAGGAGAAUUAGAAAGUAGAGGCAGUUAGACUAGUUCGGUGGCUGUAGAAAUAGUCUAG
This 350-nucleotide long non-coding RNA is filed under the name Homo sapiens (human). RNAcentral describes it as "HSALNT0337579". Lineage: Eukaryota; Metazoa; Chordata; Mammalia; Primates; Hominidae. The record is from RNAcentral.